AGAGCGAACGCUGGCGGCAGGCUUAACACAUGCAAGUCGAGCGGGCGUAGCAAUACGUCAGCGGCAGACGGGUGAGUAACGCGUGGGAACGUACCUUUUGGUUCGGAACAACCCAGGGAAACUUGGGCUAAUACCGGAUAAGCCCUUACGGGGAAAGAUUUAUCGCCGAAAGAUCGGCCCGCGUCUGAUUAGCUAGUUGGUGAGGUAAUGGCUCACCAAGGCGACGAUCAGUAGCUGGUCUGAGAGGACGAUCAGCCACACUGGGACUGAGACACGGCCCAGACUCCUACGGGAGGCAGCAGUGGGGAAUCUUGCGCAAUGGGCGAAAGCCUGACGCAGCAACGCCGCGUGGAGGACGAAGGCUUUCUGAGUUGUAAACUCCUUUCAGCAGGGACGAUUGUGACGGUACCUGCAGAAGAAGCACCGGCCAACUACGUGCCAGCAGCCGC
RNAcentral lists this ribosomal RNA (449 nucleotides) under uncultured bacterium. RNAcentral describes it as "partial small subunit ribosomal RNA". It matches the Rfam family "Bacterial small subunit ribosomal RNA", at positions 26 to 518 of the family's 1533-position model. The record is from RNAcentral.